CUCGGCAAAUUAUCCUCAUAAGUUUGACGAUAAGAGGAACCAAAAAAUAUAAUUUUCGGUAAAAGCCCUUCCUUUCACACAGAGAGCGGAGUCUCCCUUCCCCCUACGCUUUGCGGCCGGGAGGAAGAAAGUUGCUUCGUCCCCAAUAUUUAUAGAAGGGGGAGGGGCUUUAUUUACCGGUUUAUUAUUUCAACUUGGUCACUUUAUACUUGUUAAUUCUGUCUUGUGGGUAUUCUUCAAUAAAGUUUAAAUAUUAUUAAGAACAAUAUUUUUAUUUUAGUUGUUAAUUUCCGGUUUAAGAAAUAAAUAUGCCUUUCUUGCCUAAGCGUUUUCGAGCGUAAAGGUAAGAGGAGUUGUUUGUAUUUUUAAACGUAAGACAGUUAUUAAAUGAAUAAUGGCUAUCCCUUCUGGGAGAAUAAUAAAGUCAGCCAUGAUAAAUUAUGGUAAUUUGGUGUCACAGAAUCGGAGGCCUCGACUGUUUACUAAAAACACAAGAAUGUGCAAUGAUAAAAAUCAUAGUAUACGUUCUGAAAUUUGCUCGAUGCCAUUAAUAUAAAAGAGGUAAUAGGUAACUGUUACUAAUUGAAAAUCUGGUUAAUAGCGGUCUUAACUAUGAGGAUCCUAAGGUAGCGAAAUCAAUUGGCCAUUAAAUGUGGUCCGGUAUCAAUAAUGUAACGAAGGUCUCACUGUCUCUACAACUUGCUCAGUGAAAUUGAAUUACCCGUGCAGAUGCGGGUUACCCCCAGUGGGACGGGAAGACCCUAUGCAGCUUCUACUG
RNAcentral lists this ribosomal RNA (778 nucleotides) under Onnia tomentosa. Its description in RNAcentral is "LSU rRNA". It matches the Rfam family "Bacterial large subunit ribosomal RNA", at positions 1713 to 2106 of the family's 2925-position model. Lineage: Eukaryota; Fungi; Basidiomycota; Agaricomycetes; Hymenochaetales; Hymenochaetaceae. The record is from RNAcentral.